Molecule: RNA transcript, 4119 nt
Organism: Aedes albopictus (Asian tiger mosquito)
Lineage: Eukaryota; Metazoa; Arthropoda; Insecta; Diptera; Culicidae
Exons: 4
Source: RefSeq, a predicted model, not a curated record
AUGGCUCGCAAAAGGCUUAAUGUUGCCAAAAAGCGCGUGUUGAAGAAGGCAGCGAGCAAAAAUGCAAGUUUCGUGGUGCAGUCGCUUUCGGAAUUAAAGGAAGAAAAUACCAUCAACUUGGAAUCGAAUGCAUCCGGCAAGGAAACGAUGGCGGUUCCUUCCUAUAACUUCGACCAUCAUUCUGAUGACGAAGACGUCGAUAUGAGCGAAAAACCACCGUUACCGACAUCGCAAAUCACCCGCACUUACCGUCGAAAGAAAUCCGUUGACCAACUGCUACAGGACUGGGAAACUACAACUGCCCCAUGCGAACCCAGCUGCAGUAAUCCUGGACCCUCCAUUCAGAUUGUCCACAUCGAGUCACUCCACGAACAGACCAAUGAAGCUGCUGGAUCAGCUGUUAAUGAAGCGGCUGAUAUCGUCAUUCUGAACCCUCAAACAGGUAAUUAUUUUCUUAAAUUAAAUACAUUGAAGUACUCGUGUGGAAAAUCUGAGGACGUUGAUAAAUAAAAAGCAUUGGCGGAGUCUCUGCAGAAGGAUAAAGAUGGUUUAAUUUUGAAGAACGCCAAACUGGAGGCCCAAAAUGCGAAGCUGCUGGAUUCGUUGACAUCAAAACUUCUACCGACGCCAGAGAAGCCGUUCAAGGAAGAGGAAGGAUUCAUCGACGGUGAUGCGCUGCAGCGAAUGUCCCACGAAGCCGGCGACAAGGAUUAUUUGUUCCUGAAGUUCAUCAUGAUGAAGCUUUUUCCAGAAGGACUCGUUGGGCGUUCAGUAACAGGACGUGCUUCGAAUAACCCUUCCGGUCGCCCGAAGAAAAUCGGAGAUGGCAUCUCUCAUGACACCUGUGAACCUACAGGCAACGAAACUCCGCGAGAAACAUUCAAAGCUCCCUUGGAUCCCGAGAAAGUUAAAUGGAUCAAAAGACGACUUUACGACCGCCGUUUGUUCCUCGGAGAUGACGCUGCAACCGCAAACGCAUGUUACCGUAGUGCAGGACGCUUGAUGACUCGAAUUAUCGCCAACGCUUCUCGAUAAACAUACAGCUAAAUAGCGGAUUCGAUUUUAUUCACGUAUAAUGAUUUUAAACUGUUUAACUUGGCUGGCAACUUUUGAUUUUGAAUUUGUUCUUUGAUCGAUGCAAUUCAGAUCAGAAAAACUCAAUGAAUGUUUUAGUUAAAUGUUAUACUAAAUGUUACUAAUAAAACGAUUUUCAAACUAUUUUUUUCCUUUUUAAAUUAAAAAUUAACAAAAAAAAAAACAAAAAAAAGGAAAUAUCUAGGAAGGCUGAUAAUAUCAGCAUGAUAACUAAAUUUGUUAUCAAGUCAAGGCCAAUACCUGUUAUCAUUGAUCUUCGAUUAUAUCUGAUUGAUAACAAACUUAAUUAUCAUAUGGAAAAAUUCGCAUUACAAAACCAGUUAUCAAGUUGAUCAUUACGAUAACACGAUGAGAAAUUUUUGUGAUAUCAAUGGAGACAAUUUUUGUUAUCAAUUUUGUUAUGUUGCCUGUUUAUUCAACCAUACUGAAAACAAAUUCAAUUAUCAGCAAUCUGAUAACUUCAUAGCAAAAAGUGUUAUCAGUUUGCUAGCCAACUUUGAUCGGGUUUGCUUUCAAACGCUUCAAGUUUUUACGACAAACAACUUCGUCGGCGAGAACUGGUUUUGCUAUCGGGACUUUGAAAUGGGACUAAGGGGGUUUCCAGGAAGUUCCCAGAGUACCCAAAAGAAGAGUGGUCCAAGAGGUCCAAGAGGAGAAGCAUUUAAAUGGGCUUCGGGUGAGUUGCAUUGGUGUUUCAUGGCAUUUCGAAGGCGUUUCAGGGAAUCUCAGUGGCAUUUUAGAUGACAUUGAGAAGGUUACAAGACGUAUCCAGCGAUUGAAGAGCUUUUUGCAAGGGGUUUCAGGGAAUUUCGAUGGGUUUCCGGGGCGUCUUAGGAGGUUUCACUUUUAAUUUCGAAUUUCUAAUUUUUAAUAGUUUAUUCAACUUUCAAAACGUUUAAUGGUGUUAAGGGGGCUUUCAGGGGAGUUUAUGGGUGUUUCAGAGCAAUUAAAUUACUUUUGAGGGAAUCUCUAAAACCAUUUAUGAAGCCCCCUCAAACCCCUUGAAUUACUCCAAAAGCCUCCUGAAAACCCUAAUGAAAUGCCUCCGAAACACUUCUGACACCUGAAGCUUUCUGGGAGCCUCUGGAACCCGCAAAACUACACUGAGUGUCCCUGAAACCCCCUUGUUCCUCCCAAAACACUCUGAAAUCUCCCCAGGAACCUCCAGUAAAACGCCUAUGCAGGUCUCAUGAAAUCCGUUGAAACCCUUUUGAAGCCCUUUAAAAACCCUCUCGGAACACAGCUAAAAAUCUCUCUGAGACCCCCAUGGACAGUUUUGAGACGGAUGGACCUGUAUCGGCCACGUACCAGGCCGGAACCGGUUCCGGUAGGGGCCCUUGGAGAAACAUACAGAAUUUCUUGCAACGCUAUCAUACGACGGCUUCAAGUCCAUGAUUUUUCAUCCAGCUGUCAAUAGGCACUGUGCCGAUGACCAACAAUCGUUCUGGCCGCUUCCGGAUACUAUGGAAUCGAUUAUGUUGUGAUCCCCCGGAUUCAGGAUUUUUUGCAGCUCUACUUUUCGACGGCUCAAAAUUCAUGAUUUUUCGUCCAAAAGUCAACAGACUCUGUGUCGAUGACUAACAUUUCCAAGUAACAUUUUGAUGGCCAAUUUUAUGAGAACCGUCAUAAAACCAAAUACCUUCUAUUUUGGUUUUAUGGUGGUUCUAAUAACCUUUUUCACUCCAUUUUAUAAAAAAAUGUUACUUGGGAAUGAAUUUGAUCCACAAAAGAGAAUUGGCUUCUUAAACGGUGUUGAGAUAAUCGCAUAUUCUAAAUCUGCAUUCCAAACUGAGCCAAAAUCCAAAUUUUCAUGAUUUUCGGUGCCCGGGAACCUAUUUAAAAAUCAAUUUGAAGUUUGUAUGGGAGCGAUUUGUCGAAUCACCCCUUGUCGCAUUUUUUACUGGGCGCAGCUGUCAAGCAGUUGCCCAGCUAUCAAAAGGUGAUUUCAAAAAAUCUCUUUGAAAUUGAUUUUAGGUAUCUUUCGUAUGAAAUCAAAACAAAACAAUACAUUUUCUUAAAUUUAAAAACCCAAUUGUCAGACAAAAAGGUACAAAAGCAACAAAGAAGGCGCGGCGAUUACUCUGUAUCUCAACUUGUAAUAGGGCACUGCAUGAAAUUCUCUCCUUCUCUUUUACUCUUACAGAAAUUUUGUAAACAACAAGGCCAAGAAACAUGAAAAUCCCAUAUAAAAUCAAAACAAUGCAGAGCCCUAUAGAUAAUGACAUGAUCUCGAAAAUUUUUGAUGGUGACAAAAGAGAAGCGAAAUUUUCUACUCGUAAAUAAUCAGUUAUUACUAACCCGACGAUGAUGGAGUACUGAUCUUAUUUUGGGAUCAACCUAUGUCGCAUUGGGUGAAUUGUAGCAACAAUUGCAGGUUGUGACAUUGUCAUUUUUGUUGCGCGGUUGUUGGGAUUUGAUUCAGUGAUCUGACCACUUCCGGAAACUCUGAAACAAAAUCUGGGGACAUUUUCAGAAUUUCUUGGAAUUCCCACCUCUGUAAUUAUCGUUGAAGGGCAAUUGCUUUCAUGAGUUCAGCAAUAAUUCUUCUGAAGAUCCUUUCUUUCAGAAUGAAUUCCUACUCAUGUACUCCUUUAGUAUUUUCUCCACGAUUACCUGUACGGACACCACCAGCAAUUCUUUCAGGUUAUUUUUUCAGGAUUUAAAUAUCAACAUGUUUCCGGAAUUUUCAUGGAAAGAAGAUUCUCACAGGAUUUCCUAGAAUGAUUUCAGCAAUGAUUCCUCCACAAAUCCCCCAAGGUAUUCGUUUAGAAUGGCUUCCUACCCAUGUAUAUCUGCAAAAAUUUCUCCAGGGUGUCCUCCAGAGAUUCUUUCAGGAGUUUCUGAAGAAAUUUAUCAAAAAAAAAUUCUGAAGAGAUUAUCCUAGAUUAUCCUAGAAAUUCCUUCAGGGCUUCUUCAGAAAUUCCUCCAGGUUUUCCUCCAAGGAUUGCUGGUGAUUUAUUCAAACAUAAAAUUCCUUCGUCUCUUACUGGAAAAAAUAAUUAGAAGGCACGAAAUGUUGCUAAU